CGGAUGCCGAUCUCGAAAACCUGUCCCAGUUCGGACUGGAGUCUGCAACCCGACUCCACGAAGUUGGAUUCGCUAGUAAUCGCGCAUCAGCCAUGGCGCGGUGAAUACGUUCCCGGGCCUUGUACGCACCGCCCGUCAAGCCAUGGGAGCCGGGGGCGCCUGAAGUCCGGGACCGCGAGGACCGGCCUAGGGCGAAACUGGGUGACUGGGGCUAAGUCGUAACAAGGUAUC
RNAcentral lists this ribosomal RNA (231 nucleotides) under uncultured bacterium. Its description in RNAcentral is "partial 16S ribosomal RNA". It matches the Rfam family "Bacterial small subunit ribosomal RNA", at positions 1262 to 1500 of the family's 1533-position model. The record is from RNAcentral.